Molecule: non-coding RNA, 26 nt
Filed under: Mus musculus (house mouse)
Lineage: Eukaryota; Metazoa; Chordata; Mammalia; Rodentia; Muridae
Source: RNAcentral
UAAGGACCUCCAUGUCCUCCUCUUGU